UACGAAGGGUGCAAGCGUUAAUCGGAAUUACUGGGCGUAAAGCGUGCGUAGGCGGGAUGGCAAGUCGGUCGUGAAAUCCCUCGGCUCAACCGAGGAACGUCGAUCGAUACUGCUGUUCUUGAGGAUUGCAGAGGAGACUGGAAUUCCCGGUGUAGCGGUGAAAUGUGUAGAGAUCGGGAGGAACACCGGUGGCGAAGGCGGGUCUCUGGGCAAUUCCUGACGCUGAGGCGCGAAAGCGUGGGGAGCAAACGGG
This 253-nucleotide ribosomal RNA is filed under the name uncultured bacterium. RNAcentral's name for it is "partial 16S ribosomal RNA". It matches the Rfam family "Bacterial small subunit ribosomal RNA", at positions 524 to 776 of the family's 1533-position model. The record is from RNAcentral.